This 590-nucleotide ribosomal RNA is filed under the name Coriolopsis gallica. RNAcentral describes it as "eukaryotic LSU rRNA". The stretch from base 178 to 331 matches the Rfam family "5.8S ribosomal RNA". Lineage: Eukaryota; Fungi; Basidiomycota; Agaricomycetes; Polyporales; Polyporaceae. The record is from RNAcentral.
UGUAGCUGGCCUCUCCGGAGGCAUGUGCACGCCCUGCUCAUCCACUCUACACCUGUGCACUUACUGUGGGUAUCGGAAGGCGUCGCGUCGUUNNNNGCGAGGCGUUAACCGUGCCUACGUCUUACUACAAACGCUUCAGUAUCAGAAUGUGUAUUGCGAUGUAACGCAUCUAUAUACAACUUUCAGCAACGGAUCUCUUGGCUCUCGCAUCGAUGAAGAACGCAGCGAAAUGCGAUAAGUAAUGUGAAUUGCAGAAUUCAGUGAAUCAUCGAAUCUUUGAACGCACCUUGCGCUCCUUGGUAUUCCGAGGAGCAUGCCUGUUUGAGUGUCAUGAAAUUCUCAAACCCAUAAGUCUUUGCGGGCUUACGGGCUUUGGACUUGGAGGCUUUGUCGGCGACCGCGAGGUCUGUCGACUCCUCUCAAAUGCAUUAGCUUGAUUCCUUGCGGAUCGGCUCUCGGUGUGAUAAUUGUCUACGCCGUGACCGUGAAGCGUUUUGGCGAGCUUCUAAUCGUCUCUUACGAGACAGCUUACAUUGACCUCUGACCUCAAAUCAGGUAGGACUACCCGCUGAACUUAAGCAUAUCAAUAG